UGGGUUUUUUUUAACUCCUUAUAAUUAUUAUUUGUAUGCCUCCAGAGUGUGCUGUUCUAAUCAGAGGGUAAAGUUGAUCAACUUUACAAUAGUAAAUAAUUUCGUCUCCUUUGCAAAUGAGUUUAUUAAUUUAAUUCCUGCUACAUUCAAAAUAUCAUGCCAUCUUAAGAAUUAUUUUUGAAGUGCUGUCUUUUUGGAACUUAACUUGGCUUCCCUUACAUAACUUAAAGUAUCUCUUUACCUUUCACAAAUAAUUAGAAGAUUUUAUUUGAUAUUUUCCAUUUUUAUCCUUUAAUACCCUACUCAACUGUACAAAUUGGCAACCAUAUUUAUCAAAUAAAAAAAAUUCUAAAAUGUUUCAAGUUUAUACUGAUGCA
Molecule: long non-coding RNA, 377 nt
Filed under: Mytilus galloprovincialis (Mediterranean mussel)
Lineage: Eukaryota; Metazoa; Mollusca; Bivalvia; Mytilida; Mytilidae
Source: RNAcentral